CCUACGGGUGGCAGCAGUGGGGAAUAUUGGACAAUGGGCGAAAGCCUGAUCCAGCCAUGCCGCGUGUGUGAAGAAGGCCUUCGGGUUGUAAAGCACUUUCAGUGGGGAAGAAAGCCUUGGGGCUAAUACCCUCGAGGAAGGACAUCACCCACAGAAGAAGCACCGGCUAACUCCGUGCCAGCAGCCGCGGUAAUACGGAGGGUGCGAGCGUUAAUCGGAAUUACUGGGCGUAAAGCGCGCGUAGGCGGUCUGAUAAGCCGGUUGUGAAAGCCCCGGGCUCAACCUGGGAACGGCAUCCGGAACUGUCAGGCUAGAGUGCAGGAGAGGAAGGUAGAAUUCCCGGUGUAGCGGUGAAAUGCGUAGAGAUCGGGAGGAAUACCAGUGGCGAAGGCGGCCUUCUGGACUGACACUGACGCUGAGGUGCGAAAGCGUGGGUAGCAAACAGGAUUAGAUACCCUUGUAGUC
This 465-nucleotide ribosomal RNA is filed under the name Vreelandella stevensii. RNAcentral describes it as "partial 16S ribosomal RNA". It matches the Rfam family "Bacterial small subunit ribosomal RNA", at positions 338 to 795 of the family's 1533-position model. Lineage: Bacteria; Pseudomonadati; Pseudomonadota; Gammaproteobacteria; Oceanospirillales; Halomonadaceae. The record is from RNAcentral.